Molecule: ribosomal RNA, 301 nt
Filed under: uncultured bacterium
Lineage: Bacteria
Description: partial 16S ribosomal RNA
Rfam family: Bacterial small subunit ribosomal RNA
Source: RNAcentral
CAGUAGCCGCGGUAAUACGUAGGUCCCGAGCGUUGUCCGGAUUUAUUGGGCGUAAGCGAGCGCAGGCGGUUAGAUAAGUCUGAAGUUAAAGGCUGUGGCUUAACCAUAGUACGCUUUGGAAACUGUUUAACUUGAGUGCAAGAGGGGAGAGUGGAAUUCCAUGUGUAGCGGUGAAAUGCGUAGAUAUAUGGAGGAACACCGGUGGCGAAAGCGGCUCUCUGGCUUGUAACUGACGCUGAGGCUCGAAAGCGUGGGGAGCAAACAGGAUUAGAUACCCGCGUAGUCCCUGUCUCUUAUACAC